GAUGAACGCUGGCGGCGUGCCUAAUACAUGCAAGUCGAGCGAACAGACGAGGAGCUUGCUCCUCUGACGUUAGCGGCGGACGGGUGAGUAACACGUGGAUAACCUACCUAUAAGACUGGGAUAACUUCGGGAAACCGGAGCUAAUACCGGAUAAUAUAUUGAACCGCAUGGUUCAAUAGUGAAAGACGGUUUUGCUGUCACUUAUAGAUGGAUCCGCGCCGCAUUAGCUAGUUGGUAAGGUAACGGCUUACCAAGGCAACGAUGCGUAGCCGACCUGAGAGGGUGAUCGGCCACACUGGGACUGAGACACGGCCCAGACUCCUACGGGAGGCAGCAGUAGGGAAUCUUCGGCAAUGGACGAAAGUCUGACCGAGCAACGCCGCGUGAGUGAAGAAGGUUUUCGGAUCGUAAAGCUCUGUUGUAAGUCAAGAACGUGUGUGAGAGUGGAAAGUUCACACAGUGACGGUAGCUUACCAGAAAGGGACGGCUAACUACGUG
Molecule: ribosomal RNA, 498 nt
Filed under: uncultured bacterium
Lineage: Bacteria
Description: partial 16S ribosomal RNA
Rfam family: Bacterial small subunit ribosomal RNA
Source: RNAcentral